RNAcentral lists this transfer RNA (82 nucleotides) under Plicaturopsis crispa FD-325 SS-3. RNAcentral describes it as "tRNA-Gln (TTG) (tRNA-Gln-TTG-1-1)". It matches the Rfam family "tRNA". Rfam says of the family: Transfer RNA (tRNA) molecules are approximately 80 nucleotides in length. Their secondary structure includes four short double-helical elements and three loops (D, anti-codon, and T loops). The record is from RNAcentral. Lineage: Eukaryota; Fungi; Basidiomycota; Agaricomycetes; Amylocorticiales; Amylocorticiaceae.
GGCCUUAUAGUGUAGUGGUUUAUCACCCUCGGUUUUGAUCCGAAAUAUCCGGGUGACCCAGGUUCGAACCCUGGUAAGGCCU